AGUGAACGCUGGCGGUAGGCCUAACACAUGCAAGUCGAACGGCAGCACAGUAUGAGCUUGCUCUUACGGGUGGCGAGUGGCGGACGGGUGAGGAAUACAUCGGAAUCUACUUUUUCGUGGGGGAUAACGUAGGGAAACUUACGCUAAUACCGCAUACGACCUACGGGUGAAAGCAGGGGAUCCUCGGACCUUGCGCGAUUGAAUGAGCCGAUGUCGGAUUAGCUAGUUGGCGGGGUAAAGGCCCACCAAGGCGACGAUCCGUAGCUGGUCUGAGAGGAUGAUCAGCCACACUGGAACUGAGACACGGUCCAGACUCCUACGGGAGGCAGCAGUGGGGAAUAUUGGACAAUGGGCGCAAGCCUGAUCCAGCCAUACCGCGUGGGUGAAGAAGGCCUUCGGGUUGUAAAGCCCUUUUGUUGGGAAAGAAAAGCAGCAGGUUAAUACCCCGCUGUUCUGACGGUACCCAAAGAAUAAGCACCGGCUAACUUCGUG
This 492-nucleotide ribosomal RNA is filed under the name uncultured bacterium. RNAcentral describes it as "partial 16S ribosomal RNA". It matches the Rfam family "Bacterial small subunit ribosomal RNA", at positions 29 to 507 of the family's 1533-position model. The record is from RNAcentral.